AACAUCCUGCUCUGUUCGCGGACGUUUGGCAUUUAUAACCCUACAACCUUUUAAAAGGGAGUUCGGCUCGGUCGGCGGGUAUGCAGGCCUCCCGAGGUAUUGAAAGAUAUAUUUUGGACGUUGGAAGCACAAAACCGAACGGAGAACACCCACCUGCUACAAGCAGGUUAUAAUCUGCCCGAUACGGCAGAGCGGGAGCAA
This 201-nucleotide non-coding RNA is filed under the name Clostridia bacterium. RNAcentral describes it as "6S RNA". It matches the Rfam family "6S / SsrS RNA". Rfam says of the family: E. coli 6S RNA was the first non coding RNA to be sequenced, but its function was unknown until recently. It consists of 184 nucleotides that fold into an extended hairpin structure with a large single-stranded internal bulge. Lineage: Bacteria; Bacillati; Bacillota; Clostridia. The record is from RNAcentral.